This 499-nucleotide ribosomal RNA is filed under the name uncultured bacterium. RNAcentral's name for it is "partial 16S ribosomal RNA". It matches the Rfam family "Bacterial small subunit ribosomal RNA", at positions 30 to 523 of the family's 1533-position model. The record is from RNAcentral.
AUUGAACGCUGGCGGAAUGCUUUACACAUGCAAGUCGAACGGCAGCACGGACUUCGGUCUGGUGGCGAGUGGCGAACGGGUGAGUAAUGUAUCGGAACGUGCCCAGUCGUGGGGGAUAACGUAGUGAAAAUUACGCUAAUACCGCAUAUGAUCUAUGGAUGAAAGCGGGGGAUCGCAAGACCUCGCGCGAUUGGAGCGGCCGAUAUCAGAUUAGGUAGUUGGUGGGGUAAAGGCCCACCAAGCCAACGAUCUGUAGCUGGUCUGAGAGGACGACCAGCCACACUGGAACUGAGACACGGUCCAGACUCCUACGGGAGGCAGCAGUGGGGAAUGUUGGACAAUGGGCGAAAGCCUGAUCCAGCCAUUCCGCGUGCAGGAUGAAGGCCCUCGGGUUGUAAACUGCUUUUGUACAGAACGAAAAGGUUUCUACUAAUACUAGGAGCUCAUGACGGUACUGUAAGAAUAAGCACCGGCUAACUACGUGCCAGCCGCCGAGUAA